UACAGAGGUCCCAAGCGUUGUUCGGAUUCACUGGGCGUAAAGGGUGCGUAGGUGGUGGGGUAAGUCUCGUGUGAAAGCUCGCAGCUUAACUCCGAAAUGGCACGGGAUACUAUUCUGCUGGAGGGCUGGAGGGGGGACUGGAAUACUUGGUGUAGCAGUGAAAUGCGUAGAUAUCAAGAGGAACACCAGUGGCGAAGGCGAGUCCCUGGACAACACCUGACACUGAGGCACGAAAGCCAGGGGAGCAAAC
RNAcentral lists this ribosomal RNA (250 nucleotides) under uncultured Verrucomicrobiota bacterium. RNAcentral's name for it is "uncultured Verrucomicrobia bacterium partial 16S ribosomal RNA". It matches the Rfam family "Bacterial small subunit ribosomal RNA", at positions 524 to 773 of the family's 1533-position model. Lineage: Bacteria; Pseudomonadati; Verrucomicrobiota. The record is from RNAcentral.